AUUGAACGCUGGCGGCAGGCCUAACACAUGCAAGUCGAGCGGCAGCGGGAAAGUAGCUUGCUACUUUUGCCGGCGAGCGGCGGACGGGUGAGUAAUGCCUGGGAAAUUGCCCAGUCGAGGGGGAUAACAGCUGGAAACGACUGCUAAUACCGCAUACGCCCUACGGGGGAAAGCAGGGGACCUUCGGGCCUUGCGCGAUUGGAUAUGCCCAGGUGGGAUUAGCUAGUUGGUGAGGUAAUGGCUCACCAAGGCGACGAUCCCUAGCUGGUCUGAGAGGAUGAUCAGCCACACUGUAACUGAGACACGGUCCAGACUCCUACGGGAGGCAGCAGUGGGGAAUAAUGCACAAUGGGGGAAACCCUGAUGCAGCCAUGCCGCGUGUGUGAAGAAGGCCUUCGGGUUGUAAAGCGCUUUCAGCGAGGAGGAAAGGUUGAUGCCUAAUACGCAUCAACUGUGACGUUACUCGCAGAAGAAGCACCGGCUAACUCCGUGCCAGCCGCCGCAGUAA
RNAcentral lists this ribosomal RNA (508 nucleotides) under uncultured bacterium. RNAcentral's name for it is "partial 16S ribosomal RNA". It matches the Rfam family "Bacterial small subunit ribosomal RNA", at positions 30 to 523 of the family's 1533-position model. The record is from RNAcentral.